AGCCCAUGAUGAGGGCACAAUCUCAACAUCUUGUUAAAGCGCUCCCACGCUUCAUAGAGGGAUUCUCCUUCCUUUUGAGAAAAACUUGUGAUUUGACUUUUCAAUU
Molecule: small nucleolar RNA, 106 nt
Organism: Cicer arietinum (chickpea)
Lineage: Eukaryota; Viridiplantae; Streptophyta; Magnoliopsida; Fabales; Fabaceae
Source: RefSeq, a predicted model, not a curated record